This 72-nucleotide non-coding RNA is filed under the name Pseudomonas tolaasii NCPPB 2192. The record is from RNAcentral. Lineage: Bacteria; Pseudomonadati; Pseudomonadota; Gammaproteobacteria; Pseudomonadales; Pseudomonadaceae.
UGUGGGAGCUGGCUUGCCUGCGAUAGCGGUGUUGAAUUCAGCACCGCUAUCGCAGGCAAGCCAGCUCCCACA